Cyprinodon tularosa is the source of this 273-nucleotide long non-coding RNA. RefSeq lists it as uncharacterized. The transcript has 4 exons. The record is from RefSeq and is a predicted model, not a curated record. NCBI's taxonomy places the organism in Eukaryota, Metazoa, Chordata, Actinopteri, Cyprinodontiformes, Cyprinodontidae.
UGUUUCAAGUUGGAGUUAUCCAAAUUACGAGUGUUUUGAAUGCAUCAUAUUCGAAUUUACAAAGCGCACUCGGGAGCAGAAAGUGCGGGAGCCGUGAGGUCUAUCCAGGAGAGGACGCAACGGGGAGGCAGCGCAGUGUGUGAACGUGAGUGAGAGGGCGCGCCGCUGUGAAGCCAGAAGAGAAAAGAAAUCUGGUGGUGGCAGAAACGAUUGAACUCAUUAAAGAGUAUCAUUCUGCUGCUGAGCUGCACAAAUUGCUAAACACCAAAUAGG